Molecule: transfer RNA, 64 nt
Filed under: Hoploplana elisabelloi
Lineage: Eukaryota; Metazoa; Platyhelminthes; Polycladida; Hoploplanidae
Description: tRNA-Leu
Rfam family: tRNA
About the family: Transfer RNA (tRNA) molecules are approximately 80 nucleotides in length. Their secondary structure includes four short double-helical elements and three loops (D, anti-codon, and T loops). Further hydrogen bonds mediate the characteristic L-shaped molecular structure. tRNAs have two regions of fundamental functional importance: the anti-codon, which is responsible for specific mRNA codon recognition, and the 3' end, to which the tRNAs corresponding amino acid is attached (by aminoacyl-tRNA synthetases). tRNAs cope with the degeneracy of the genetic code in two manners: having more than one tRNA (with a specific anti-codon) for a particular amino acid; and 'wobble' base-pairing, i.e. permitting non-standard base-pairing at the 3rd anti-codon position.
Source: RNAcentral
UUCAGGAUGGCAGAAAAAUGUAAUAGAUUUAGAAUCUAUGUAUGGGGUUAAAGCCUCUCUUGAA